GAUGAACGCUGGCGGCGUGCCUAACACAUGCAAGUCGAACGAUGAAGCAGAGAGACGCGAACUUCGGUUCUAACUUCACUCCGGAUUAGUGGCAGACGGUUGAGUACCGCGUGUGCAAGCUACCUCUUACAAAGGGAUAGCCUCGGGAAACCGAGAUUAAUACCAUCUGACACCAUCAUAAGGCAUCUUAAGAAUGGUAAAGGUACGGCGGUAAGGGAUGGGCUCGCGUCCCAUUAGCUGGUUGGUAAGGUAACGGCCCACCAAAGCGACGAAGGGUAAACGGGAUGAGAGAGAGGGCGGUCACAUUGAAGCUAGGACGCAGUCCGGAAUCCUACGGGAGGGGGGAAUGGGGGAUAUAGCACAAUGGAGUGAGCGCUGAUGGAGCGACGCCGCGUAAGCGAUGUUGGUAUUCAAUAAGAAAAGCUCUGUUAUAUGGGAAGAAAAGGACGGUACCAAAGGAGAAAGCCCCGGCUAAAUACGUG
Molecule: ribosomal RNA, 482 nt
Filed under: uncultured bacterium
Lineage: Bacteria
Description: partial 16S ribosomal RNA
Rfam family: Bacterial small subunit ribosomal RNA
Source: RNAcentral